UCGAGCGGUAGCACAGAAGUAGCUUGCUCUCGGGUGACGAGCGGCGGACGGGCUGAGUAAUGUCUGGGAAACUGCCUGAUGGAGGGGGAUAACUACUGGAAACGGUAGCUAAUACCGCAUAAUGUCGCAAGACCAAAGUGGGGGACCUUCGGGCCUCAUGCCAUCAGAUGUGCCCAGAUGGGAUUAGCUAGUAGGUGGGGUAACGGCUCACCUAGGCGACGAUCCCUAGCUGGUCUGAGAGGAUGACCAGCCACACUGGAACUGAGACACGGUCCAGACUCCUACGGGAGGCAGCAGUGGGGAAUAUUGCACAAUGGGCGCAAGCCUGAUGCAGCCAUGCCGCGUGUGUGAAGAAGGCCUUCGGGUUGUAAAGCACUUUCAGCGGGGAGGAAGGCGUUAAGGUUAAUAACCUUGGCGAUUGACGUUACCCGCAGAAGAAGCACCGGCUAACUCCGUGCCAGCAGCCGCGGUAAUACGGAGGGUGCAAGCGUUAAUCGGAAUUACUGGGCGUAAAGCGCACGCAGGCGGUCUGUCAAGUCGGAUGUGAAAUCCCCGGGCUCAACCUGGGAACUGCAUUCGAAACUGGCAGGCUAGAGUCUUGUAGAGGGGGGUAGAAUUCCAGGUGUAGCGGUGAAAUGCGUAGAGAUCUGGAGGAAUACCGGUGGCGAAGGCGGCCCCCUGGACAAAGACUGACGCUCAGGUGCGAAAGCGUGGGGAGCAAACAGGAUUAGAUACCCUGGUAGUCCACGCCGUAAACGAUGUCGAUUUGGAGGUUGUGCCCUUGAGGCGUGGCUUCCGGAGCUAACGCGUUAAAUCGACCGCCUGGGGAGUACGGCCGCAAGGUUAAAACUCAAAUGAAUUGACGGGGGCCCGCACAAGCGGUGGAGCAUGUGGUUUAAUUCGAUGCAACGCGAAGAACCUUACCUGGUCUUGACAUCCACAGAACUUUGCAGAGAUGGAUUGGUGCCUUCGGGAACUGUGAGACAGGUGCUGCAUGGCUGUCGUCAGCUCGUGUUGUGAAAUGUUGGGUUAAGUCCCGCAACGAGCGCAACCCUUAUCCUUUGUUGCCAGCGGUUAGGCCGGGAACUCAAAGGAGACUGCCAGUGAUAAACUGGAGGAAGGUGGGGAUGACGUCAAGUCAUCAUGGCCCUUACGACCAGGGCUACACACGUGCUACAAUGGCAUAUACAAAGAGAAGCGACCUCGCGAGAGCAAGCGGACCUCAUAAAGUAUGUCGUAGUCCGGAUUGGAGUCUGCAACUCGACUCCAUGAAGUCGGAAUCGCUAGUAAUCGUAGAUCAGAAUGCUACGGUGAAUACGUUCCCGGGCCUUGUACACACCGCCCGUCACACCAUGGGAGUGGGUUGCAAAAGAAGUAGGUA
This 1381-nucleotide ribosomal RNA is filed under the name Klebsiella sp. UIWRF0237. RNAcentral describes it as "bacterial SSU rRNA". It matches the Rfam family "Bacterial small subunit ribosomal RNA", at positions 62 to 1432 of the family's 1533-position model. The record is from RNAcentral. Lineage: Bacteria; Pseudomonadati; Pseudomonadota; Gammaproteobacteria; Enterobacterales; Enterobacteriaceae.